CGCACCUUGCGCCCUUUGGUAUUCCGAAGGGCAUGCCCGUUCGAGUGUCUUGAAAUCAUCACUCCUCUCGGUUUCUGAUCGAGAUGGUGUGGAUUUGGAGGUCUGCUGCUGUACAAGUGGCUCCUCUUGAAUGUAUCGGUUGCGCUUGAAGCGUUCCCUCGACGUUGUAAUCUCCCUCGUCUUGGUCUGUUUUGAGUCGGCCUCGGCUUAGCCUCUGGAGUGGCGGCCAAAUUCUUUGACAUCUGACCUCGAAUCGGGUAGGACUACCCGCUGAACUUAA
This 280-nucleotide unclassified non-coding RNA is filed under the name Trechisporales sp. Its description in RNAcentral is "partial contains 5.8S ribosomal RNA, internal transcribed spacer 2, and large subunit ribosomal RNA". The record is from RNAcentral. Lineage: Eukaryota; Fungi; Basidiomycota; Agaricomycetes; Trechisporales.